RNAcentral lists this ribosomal RNA (292 nucleotides) under uncultured prokaryote. RNAcentral describes it as "partial 16S ribosomal RNA". It matches the Rfam family "Bacterial small subunit ribosomal RNA", at positions 505 to 796 of the family's 1533-position model. The record is from RNAcentral.
GUGCCAGCAGCCGCGGUAAUACGUAGGUGGCAAGCGUUGUCCGGAAUUAUUGGGCGUAAAGGGCUCGCAGGCGGUUUCUUAAGUCUGAUGUGAAAGCCCCCGGCUCAACCGGGGAGGGUCAUUGGAAACUGGGAAACUUGAGUGCAGAAGAGGAGAGUGGAAUUCCACGUGUAGCGGUGAAAUGCGUAGAGAUGUGGAGGAACACCAGUGGCGAAGGCGACUCUCUGGUCUGUAACUGACGCUGAGGAGCGAAAGCGUGGGGAGCGAACAGGAUUAGAAACCCCCGUAGUCC